Long non-coding RNA from Oncorhynchus nerka (sockeye salmon), 638 nucleotides. RefSeq lists it as uncharacterized. The transcript is spliced from 3 exons. The record is from RefSeq and is a predicted model, not a curated record. Lineage: Eukaryota; Metazoa; Chordata; Actinopteri; Salmoniformes; Salmonidae.
UUCUCAGUCCCUCUGCCUCUCCCUCCCUCUCUCAGCCCCUCUCUCUCCACCUCUCCCGCCCUCCCUCUCUCUUAAUUACACUGUUUUCUUCAUGCAGCAGAUUAAGAUUCCCAGUACUUUUUUAGGGCAAUACCACUUACCACUUACCUAGAAUAUGAAUAGCUGUUGUCCGUUAUAUAUAUUUAGCCCAUCAGGCUCUGAGCGUUCAAAUGAAACCAGGAAGCAUGUAGUUGCUUUGGCAACACCAGAACAGUGUUUUUAUCAAAUCAACUCUUCGCAGCUCAGCUCAGCUGAUUCAGAUCUUGGUACAUUUCCUCCUUCAGCACAUCAAGGAUAUCAUCUAUCUCAGGACAGACAGGUUAUUGUCCUGCUGAAAGGUGAAUGUGUCUCCCAGUGUCUGGUGGAAAGCAGACUGAACCAGGUUAUUGUCCUGCUGAAAGGUGAAUGUGUCUCCCAGUGUCUGUUGGAAAGCAGACUGAACCAGGUUAUUGUCCUGCUGAAAGGUGAAUGUGUCUCCCAGUGUCUGUUGGAAAGCAGACUGAACCAGGUUAUUGUCCUGCUGAAAGGUGAAUGUGUCUCCCAGUGUCUGUUGGAAAGCAGACUGAACCAGGUUAUUGUCCUGCUGAAAGGUGAAUGUG